This 369-nucleotide ribosomal RNA is filed under the name uncultured bacterium. RNAcentral describes it as "bacterial SSU rRNA". It matches the Rfam family "Bacterial small subunit ribosomal RNA", at positions 527 to 896 of the family's 1533-position model. The record is from RNAcentral.
GUAGGGUGCAAGCGUUAAUCGGAAUCACUGGGCGUAAAGCGUGCGCAGGCGGCUUUGCAAGACAGAUGUGAAAUCCCCGGGCUUAACCUGGGAACUGCAUUUGUGACUGCAUGGCUAGAGUGCGGCAGAGGGGGAUGGGAUUCCGCGUGUAGCAGUGAAAUGCGUAGAUAUGCGGAGGAACACCGAUGGCGAAGGCAAUCCCCUGGGCCUGCACUGACGCUCAUGCACGAAAGCGUGGGGAGCAAACAGGAUUAGAUACCCUGGUAGUCCACGCCCUAAACGAUGUCAACUGGUUGUUGGACGGCUUGCUGUUCAGUAACGAAGCUAACGCGUGAAGUUGACCGCCUGGGGAGUACGGCCGCAAGGUUG